CGGAGCGUGGCGCAGCCCGGUUAGCGCACUUGUCUGGGAGACAAGGGGUCGGAGGUUCAAAUCCUCUCGCUCCGACCA
Molecule: transfer RNA, 78 nt
Filed under: Rhodopseudomonas palustris
Lineage: Bacteria; Pseudomonadati; Pseudomonadota; Alphaproteobacteria; Hyphomicrobiales; Nitrobacteraceae
Also listed under: 1 other name
Description: tRNA-Pro
Rfam family: tRNA
About the family: Transfer RNA (tRNA) molecules are approximately 80 nucleotides in length. Their secondary structure includes four short double-helical elements and three loops (D, anti-codon, and T loops).
Source: RNAcentral